UGCUGUUUGUCUUUUUUUGACUUUGCUGUUGCUGUUACCUGCCAGCAAGUUUACCUCUCAUUCUAAACUCCCUCAUAAAAAGAAAGCAAGCUAGUUUUCACAGAAACGUAAAGACCAUUUUUCUUGGAAUCUAGACUCAUGGCCUGGGAGAGCAGUUGAGGAUGGUCUUACUUCUCCAUGUUCUGAAACCAGUUUAAACAAAAACAAAAACCAGACAACAACCUCGCAAGGAGCUCAGGGUAAACAAACAGCCUUUUUCUGGAAAGUAAAAUGUUUCCCCAAGAUGGGGAAAUUGAGAUGAGAGCUCGUCCAGAAGAAUACCCAUCAAUGUGCACUAAGUAGAAAAAUCAGCCAGAAGACUGGGAGCUUUUAAUAUCAGGAAACUUACACAAAUACCAUGAUUCCCAGAAGAGAUGUUUUGUAAAUAAGUCUGGGAUAAAAUGCAACAGAAUCGAGCCACGAUUGGAAGCGCUUACCGGAAUAAGAGAAGAACUUAGUCCCCAAAGCCCUCUCAAUGUUUGGAUUAAUUUCCUUUUUUCAGAAGGCCAAAAAGGACACCAAUUAAAGCCAGUUAUGGACUAUAUUCAGACUUUCCAUAUUUUCACCCCAUUCCAGUAAAAGUUCCCCUCCAAAGAAAUUUGGUCGAGAGAUGGAAUGAAAGAAUGAGAGACGUUUUAUUUUCUCUCCUAGAUGUUGGCAGGACUUCACUCCUACAUGUCUGAGGUUGUUUUCAUCUUGCAAAGUACUUUGAUAUUUGUGAAUGUGGCUACAUGGCUUAAAACAAGACCAGUGAUAACUCAUGCUAAUUAUUCAGCUUGUAUAUUAAUGCUUGACAAGAGAGAAAAGAACUUUUUCUUCCUUGAUGAUGGUUGUAAAAAUUAAGAAACGCGGGAGGAACGGAAAGAUCUGUGUUCUUCAGAGUGAUAAGCUUCCAUUUCACAGAGUUCUUGCAUCUAAAUCAUCGCAGGAACCCUCCAACGGAUGUAUUCACCCUUUCAGACUUCUGGUCCAUGCAAGCCAGGAAAGACUAGGCUCUGUAUACCCCGUUCCCCUACCAGGCCUGCGGGUCUCACCCUUUUUGGUGCUGGCUACCAGUCUGAAAUAGGAUGAGAACCAUCCCUUUCACUCUGCCUAUGAUCUUUAUUUCUAGUCAAUAUGAACGUCUACGUCAGACAUUCCUAUGAUAAUUCGACAGUCCCUUGCUAGAUCUUACAGAAGCUCCUAAUAGAAAUUGGGGUUGGGGGGCAUCCCAUUUAAUCUGUUUAAACUUCCGUUGGAUAUUUGCAAGUUCAAAUAGUUUAAAUGUGAUGUCCUGGAAUAUAAAC
RNAcentral lists this long non-coding RNA (1325 nucleotides) under Equus caballus (horse). RNAcentral's name for it is "lncRNA (ENSECAG00000035801.3)". The record is from RNAcentral. Lineage: Eukaryota; Metazoa; Chordata; Mammalia; Perissodactyla; Equidae.